Molecule: ribosomal RNA, 279 nt
Filed under: uncultured bacterium
Lineage: Bacteria
Description: partial 16S ribosomal RNA
Rfam family: Bacterial small subunit ribosomal RNA
Source: RNAcentral
UGCCAGCCGCCGCGGUAAUACGGAGGAUCCAAGCGUUAUCCGGAAUCAUUGGGUUUAAAGGGUCCGCAGGCUGUUUUUUAAGUCAGAGGUGAAAUCCUACAGCUCAACUGUAGAACUGCCUUUGAUACUGGAAAACUUGAGUUAUUGUGAAGUGGUUAGAAUGUGUGGUGUAGCGGUGAAAUGCAUAGAUAUCACACAGAAUACCGAUUGCGAAGGCAGAUCACUAACAAUAUACUGACGCUCAUGGACGAAAGCGUGGGGAGCGAACAGGAUUAGAUA